AGAGUUUGAUCAUGGCUCAGGAUGAACGCUAGCGGCAGGCCUAACACAUGCAAGUCGAGGGGCAGCAGGGGUAGCAAUACCCGCUGGCGACCGGCGCACGGGUGCGUAACGCGUAUGCAACCUGCCCUGCACCGGGGGAUAGCCCGCCGAAAGGCGGAUUAAUACCCCAUGUACCCGGUUGUCCGCAUGGGCAAGCGGGUAAAGCCGAGGCGGUGCGGGAUGGGCAUGCGUGCCAUUAGCUGGCUGGUGGGGUAACGGCCCACCAGGGCUACGAUGGCUAGGGGGUCUGAGAGGAUGGUCCCCCACACUGGUACUGAGACACGGACCAGACUCCUACGGGAGGCAGCAGUGAGGGGUAUUGGUCAAUGGGCGGAAGCCUGAACCAGCCAUGCUGCGUGCGGGAGGAAGGCCCUACGGGUUGUAAACCGCUUUUCCGGGGGAAGAAUAUGCCCGACGAGUCGGGCGAUGCCGGUACCCCGGGAAUAAGGAUCGGCUAACUCCGUGCCAGCAGCCGCGGUAAUACGGAGGAUCCGAGCGUUAUCCGGAUUUACUGGGUUUAAAGGGUGCGUAGGCGGCCCGGGCAAGUCAGCGGUGAAAUGAGGCGGCUCAACCGUUUCGCUGCCGUUGAUACUGCGGGGCUUGGAUACGGUCGGGGCGGGUGGAAUUCGUGGUGUAGCGGUGAAAUGCAUAGAUAUCACGAGGAACGCCGGUAGCGAAGGCAGCUCGCCGGGCCGAGAUCGACGCUGAGGCACGAAAGCGUGGGGAUCAAACAGGAUUAGAUACCCUGGUAGUCCACGCCGUAAACGAUGAUGGCUGGGUUUUCGUCCGUAAGGGCGAGGGCCUGAGGGAAACCAUUAAGCCAUCCACCUGGGGAGUACGGCCGCAAGGCUGAAACUCAAAUGAAUUGACGG
Molecule: ribosomal RNA, 911 nt
Filed under: Bacteroidetes bacterium enrichment culture clone HB_110
Lineage: Bacteria; Pseudomonadati; Bacteroidota
Description: bacterial SSU rRNA
Rfam family: Bacterial small subunit ribosomal RNA
Source: RNAcentral